GGGUCAGUAGGUUGGUCAUGCCACUGGUAUGUACUGGUCUCACUGAUUCCUCCUUCCUGAUGAACUGUAAUGCCAUUAAUUUGGUGUUGCAGGGAAUCUGGACUGUUACUUUGAAAAAAUUAGAGUGUUUAAAGCAAGCUAACGCUUGAAUACAUUAGCACGGAAUAAUGAAAUAGGACGUUCGAUCCUAUUUUGUUGGUUUCUAGGAUUGACGUAAUGAUUAAUAGGGAUAGUUGGGC
RNAcentral lists this ribosomal RNA (239 nucleotides) under uncultured Glomeromycotina. Its description in RNAcentral is "partial 18S ribosomal RNA". The stretch from base 40 to 239 matches the Rfam family "Eukaryotic small subunit ribosomal RNA", at positions 686 to 887 of the family's 1831-position model. The record is from RNAcentral. Lineage: Eukaryota; Fungi; Glomeromycota.